UCUGGUGGUUAGAGCGAGGUAGUACCACCCGUUCCCAUCCCGAACACGGAAGUGAAAUGCCUCAGCGCAGACGAUACUGGGGAGGCAGCUCUCUGGGAAAAUAUGCCACCGCCGGGG
This 117-nucleotide ribosomal RNA is filed under the name Chloroflexota bacterium. Lineage: Bacteria; Bacillati; Chloroflexota. The record is from RNAcentral.